CGAUUAUUUAUAAUAAUAAAAAACAGCUAAACAAUUAAACAAUUGUUUAUAGUACAAUAUCCAAGCGUCUUUAUUUUGUUGAAGCAAACAUAAUAUUAACUAUUAUUUCAGGAUCGAUAGCGCGUAUGUCUACCGUGCGUGUAAUCUAUUUAUCAGAGCUAAACCAUUUAGUCUUGUGUCGCCCGUACAGUUCCUUAAAUAACAAGGCCGUUUAUCCGUUUUAGAGUGGAAAACCUUCUUUCGGCUGGUGCGGUUGACGCUGCGGGUAAUAUUAGAUAACAUUUGAAGAAAAAAAAAAAACAUUUGUGUUUGGGAACAAUAAUUCUCCCGGACACUUCGGUUAUAACGGUGUUGCGUCACCCGCGGAAUUUCCGGACCGGAACCAUACGGCUGGCGCGGCGUAAACAUUUCCAAUGUACGAACACGAUUAUUGUCCGCUGUCGCGCGCGUGAAAUGUCGUCGAACAAAAAUCGUACAACUGCCUAGCCCGCGGCCCGAAAGUAUCGGUAUAUUAUUAGCGGCUCCGCGGUGUCGUUUUCGAGUCCGUCGCGUCGCGCGCACACAUUUUACAAUAGCGGCGCACGCGCGAUCCCGCGCGACACAUAUAAGCGUUUCGCACAUUAUUCUGUUUGUUUUACCGGCGCUGUUUGUUUUGUCGUUCGCCGUCGACCAUAACACAGCAACGGUGCUAAUAAUAUUACCGCCGGACGAGGUCGUCUCCGUCGGAAUAACGUC
This is a non-coding RNA of Cinara cedri, 735 nucleotides long. Lineage: Eukaryota; Metazoa; Arthropoda; Insecta; Hemiptera; Aphididae. The record is from the annotation of a GenBank genome assembly.